Molecule: ribosomal RNA, 256 nt
Filed under: uncultured bacterium
Lineage: Bacteria
Description: partial 16S ribosomal RNA
Rfam family: Bacterial small subunit ribosomal RNA
Source: RNAcentral
GUCCACGCUGUAAACGAUGAGUAUUAAGUGUCGGGAGCAAUCUCGGUGCUGCAGUUAACACAAUAAAUACUACGCCUGGGGAGUACGGUCGCAAGACUGAAACUCAAAGGAAUUGACGGGGACUCGCACAAGCGGUGGAGCAUGAGGUUUAAUUCGAUGCAACGCGAAAACCUUACCAGGUCUUGACAUACUAUUGCCAGGACUAGAGAUAGUCCCUUUUUCGGAACAAUAGAUACAGGUGGUGCAUGGUUGUCGU